This 115-nucleotide transfer RNA is filed under the name Clostridia bacterium. RNAcentral describes it as "tRNA-OTHER". It matches the Rfam family "tRNA". Rfam says of the family: Transfer RNA (tRNA) molecules are approximately 80 nucleotides in length. Lineage: Bacteria; Bacillati; Bacillota; Clostridia. The record is from RNAcentral.
GCGGGAGUAGCUUAAGAGGGAAAGCGAGAUUGAAGCGCGAGAAGCUGCGCGGGAACCAUACAUUCCAAGCGGGCGAAAAGAUCUAUUGCGGGUUCGAGACCUGCCUUCCGCACCA